RNAcentral lists this ribosomal RNA (806 nucleotides) under uncultured Chromatiales bacterium. RNAcentral describes it as "bacterial SSU rRNA". It matches the Rfam family "Bacterial small subunit ribosomal RNA", at positions 8 to 796 of the family's 1533-position model. Lineage: Bacteria; Pseudomonadati; Pseudomonadota; Gammaproteobacteria; Chromatiales. The record is from RNAcentral.
AGAGUUUGAUCAUGGCUCAGAUUGAACGCUGGCGGCAUGCCUAACACAUGCAAGUCGAACGGUAACAGGCCGCAAGGUGCUGACGAGUGGCGGACGGGUGAGUAAUACGUAGGUAUCUGCCCUGUAGUGGGGGAUAACCCGGGGAAACUCGGGCUAAUACCGCAUACGCUCUUUUAUCGUUGAGAUAGGAGAGGAAAGCGAGGGACCGAAAGGCCUCGCGCUAGAGGAUGAGCCUACGCCCGAUUAGCUAGUUGGUAGGGUAAAAGCCUACCAAGGCGACGAUCGGUAGCUGGUCUGAGAGGAUGGCCAGCCACACUGGGACUGAGACACGGCCCAGACUCCUACGGGAGGCAGCAGUGGGGAAUAUUGGACAAUGGGGGAAACCCUGAUCCAGCGAUGCCGCGUGGGUGAAGAAGGCCUGCGGGUUGUAAAGCCCUUUCAGUGGGGAAGAAAAACGGGGUGUGAAAAGCGCUUCGUCUUGACGUUACCCACAGAAGAAGCACCGGCUAACUCCGUGCCAGCAGCCGCGGUAAUACGGAGGGUGCGAGCGUUAAUCGGAAUUACUGGGCGUAAAGGGCGCGUAGGCGGUUAGGUAAGUCGAGUGUGAAAGCCCUGGGCUUAACCUGGGAAUGGCAUUCGAGACUACCUAUCUAGAGUCUGGUAGAGGGAAGUGGAAUUUCCGGUGUAGCGGUGAAAUGUGUAGAUAUCGGAAGGAACACCAGUGGCGAAGGCGACUUCCUGGACCAAGACUGACGCUGAGGCGCGAAAGCGUGGGGAUCAAACAGGAUUAGAUACCCCCGUAGUCC